CACCAUGUUUCCAAGGGCUUUGGCUUGAUUAUAGUCAUGGGAUUUCCAACUAUAUCACAGAGUAACACGGAGACACUCCGAAAGCUCAGGUCAGCACGGUGUUUGCAGCUGCUACUCAUCUUAGAGAA
Phodopus roborovskii (desert hamster) is the source of this 128-nucleotide small nucleolar RNA. RefSeq annotates it as small nucleolar RNA SNORA44. Lineage: Eukaryota; Metazoa; Chordata; Mammalia; Rodentia; Cricetidae. The record is from RefSeq and is a predicted model, not a curated record. The transcript has a single exon.